AGUCGAUCAAGUCUUUUGCCACUCUUAAAACAAGACUUGUGUUAUCCCAGGAGCUCUAGAGACAUAUUGGGAGAUCAUUUUGAUUUUGCAAUUGAAACUUCAGGAGAAGCCUGAUCUCUGUAACUUACGGACAAAAAUUGACCUGCAGAAGGUGACGGAAUUUCAUUACAAUCUCAACUGGACACUAGCAUUUGGGCUGUGGAGAAAAACGAAAAUGCAUUUUCUGACUUUACUAAUACUCAUUUGCUCUUUCUCCACUGUGGAUGCCUCAAGAUACUUUAAACUCGCAUUGAUCAGUUUAGGAGCAGCAUCACGGCACACAGUAUUGCCUGGCUGACAAGGUGACUCACUAUUGGAUGUCUGCAAUGACAGGUUUGAACCAUCUAGUAGGAAGUAUAAGUAUAUAAAUAAGUAUAAGCCAUGAAUGAAUGUAAAGCUUCCCAAAUGGCAUUAAUAAAUGACAACAACUAAUAUGCUGAAAAUCACGAACUCAAUGUUAUUAUUGAGACUUGUAGAAGAUACUUAUUCUCAUGUUUAAAACAAGAGCUAGUUCGUAUACAUGAGACUAUGCAUAUUUUGAACCAGGGAAUAGUCUCAAGCAGAACGUAACAUGAACUAGCAUGCCUUGUAUAUCUUAGGCUUGUAUAGUAUCACUGGAUUAUACGUAGAUUUCUAUCCCUUCAGAUGACUAAUAAUAAUGCCAUGACAAGUAAUUGUGUAAGAAGUUAUGACUAUCAAACAAGUAUAUUUAUGGAUUGUCAUUUACAACUGUAGGCAGGACUAUGAGUGAUCUAGAUCAGUUGAAAUAUCAUGACUCUUGAAAUUAUGUCUAUUAGGCUAAAAAAAAUUAAAUCAGACUAAGUAUGUAAUAGGCUUUUGACCCAAAAACUAUUUCAUUCCCACUUGACAAGUUUAGCUAAUUAUUGUAAAUUAGGCAUUAUUUAUCUAAAUUAGGCAUUAGAUUUGAACAGCCAACAGCCAACUCAUUAAUACUCAUAAGACAUACAAAUGGUGCUGUCUGAAAAUGCUUUCUAUAUCCAGGUUACCCUUCUUAGAUUAUAUUGCAGUUAAAGAGUCAAAUAAUGUACUUCAUUUGUUUCUAGCAUCACUAAUAAUCAAAACU
Molecule: RNA transcript, 1123 nt
Organism: Stegostoma tigrinum
Lineage: Eukaryota; Metazoa; Chordata; Chondrichthyes; Orectolobiformes; Stegostomatidae
Gene name: interferon alpha-inducible protein 6-like
Exons: 4
Source: RefSeq, a predicted model, not a curated record